UGGGGAAUUUUGCACAAUGAGCGAAAGCUUGAUGCAGCGACGCCGCGUGGAGGAUGACGGUCUUCGGAUUGUAAACUCCUGUUAAGUGGGAAAAAAUGUUGAUACCUAAUACGUAUUGAAGCUGAUAGUACCACUAGAGAAAGCACCGGCAAACUUCGUGCCAGCAGCCGCGGUAAUACGAAGGGUGCUAGCGUUAUUCGGAAUAACUGGGCGUAAAGAGCGUGAAGACGGUUUUUUAAGUCAUCUGUUAAAUAGCCCGGCUUAACUGGGCAGAUGCGGGUGAAACUGAAGAACUAGAGUGCAGGAGAGAAAGGUAGAAUUCUCGGAGUAGCGGUUAAAUGCGUAGAUCUCGAGAGGAAUACCGGUUGCGAAGGCGGCCUUUUGGCCUGUUACUGACGUUCAAGCGCGAAAGCGUGGGGAGCAAACAGG
This 429-nucleotide ribosomal RNA is filed under the name uncultured bacterium. Its description in RNAcentral is "bacterial SSU rRNA". It matches the Rfam family "Bacterial small subunit ribosomal RNA", at positions 355 to 776 of the family's 1533-position model. The record is from RNAcentral.